This is a long non-coding RNA of Sitophilus oryzae (rice weevil), 876 nucleotides long. RefSeq lists it as uncharacterized. Lineage: Eukaryota; Metazoa; Arthropoda; Insecta; Coleoptera; Curculionidae. The transcript has 4 exons. The record is from RefSeq and is a predicted model, not a curated record.
UAACACAUAAUCCAGAUGGCUCCUUACGUGUUAAAAAUUGUCACCCCAAUUUCACUCCAAUUUGGAAAAAUAUUGGAGUGACGUUUGAAUAAUCUGAAAUUUUUAGAUUCCUUUUCUAACUUUUUUGGGAGGUUUUGCUUCUCUUGCACAGAUGUCGCUUGCACUUCAGUUGCGUGGUUGCCAAACGUUAUAUCGAAAUAUAUUUCAUUUCAUUAUGAAUAUAUAAAAUUAAAAAUUAUGUAAUUUAUAAACAUGAAAUAGAUAUGGAUGUUAGGUAAUACCGGAUGUUAAAUUAAUAUAUAAAUAUUUAACUUAAUACGUAAAUUAUUAUUUUAUUAAUUUAUCGUCACACGUCAUUUACCAGUUGCCUAAUUACGAAAAGUUUCAUAUGAUAUUAACCUCAAAAAUGAUCUUUGAAAACAAACAACAACAAAUAACUCAAAGAAAUAACUACAUACUACAUAAUAAUAACUGAUAAUAAUGACUUUUAAUGGUAUAAAGGCUGAUGAAGUUUUAGACAACCAAUACAAGAUUCAGAACUCGGCAUCGCGAUAAACAAGUAAAAUUGUACAUUCAGGAACUCGUUUAAAUAUUAUAGGUUGAUUGAAGAAUAAUCUACAAUUGAUUAGAGCCUAUGACGAUGCGAAGAUAAUUAAUCACCUAACUUUAAGAAACCAGCCUAAAGAAGUUUACAUGCAUCUCAUCUAACCAUUAUAGGUACAUUUUAUCUUCUAGAUCAGUAGUGAUUUUUCAUAAUUUGAAUGAACUCACAGAUAGCAAUGGGGCACCGCACCGAAGCAGUAUUACAAAAUGUGAAAUAAAACUGUAGUACAUAUUGCUCUAUAAAAUUUAAUAGAAAUAAAUUUAUUUAUGAAA